AUCGCUUCUUGGCCUUUUGGCUAAGAUCAAGUGUAGAAUUGCUUACAUUUGAUGUGUUCAAUUUGAUGAGUCUGAGUACAUGAAAAUACAGUACCAUCAUUAUAAUCAAGGGAAU
Molecule: small nuclear RNA, 115 nt
Organism: Heterocephalus glaber (naked mole-rat)
Lineage: Eukaryota; Metazoa; Chordata; Mammalia; Rodentia; Bathyergidae
Gene: U2
Rfam family: U2 spliceosomal RNA
About the family: U2 is a small nuclear RNA (snRNA) component of the spliceosome (involved in pre-mRNA splicing).
Source: Ensembl